UAGGGAAUAUUGGUCAAUGGGCGAGAGCCUGAACCAGCCACGCCGCGUGCAGGAAGACGGCCUUCUGGGUUGUAAACUGCUUUUCUACAGGAAGAAAAUACCCUUGCGAGGGGAAUUGACGGUAUUGUAGGAAUAAGCACCGGCUAACUCCGUGCCAGCAGCCGCGGUAAUACGGAGGGUGCAAGCGUUGUCCGGAUUUAUUGGGUUUAAAGGGUGCGUAGGCGGGGUCUUAAGUCAGUGGUGAAAGCCGGCAGCUCAACUGUCGAAUUGCCAUUGAUACUGGGGUCCUUGAAUUCAGUUGAGGUAUGCGGAAUUGAUGGUGUAGCGGUGAAAUGCAUAGAUACCAUCAGGAACACCGAUUGCGAAGGCAGCAUACUGGGCUUGAAUUGACGCUGAGGCACGAAAGUGUGGGGAUCGAACAGG
RNAcentral lists this ribosomal RNA (423 nucleotides) under uncultured bacterium. Its description in RNAcentral is "bacterial SSU rRNA". It matches the Rfam family "Bacterial small subunit ribosomal RNA", at positions 355 to 776 of the family's 1533-position model. The record is from RNAcentral.